Molecule: long non-coding RNA, 2221 nt
Organism: Anas platyrhynchos (mallard)
Lineage: Eukaryota; Metazoa; Chordata; Aves; Anseriformes; Anatidae
Source: RefSeq, a predicted model, not a curated record
CCUUCUCAGUUCAGGUGUGUUCAUCCAAAAACUGGCUACACCGGGUGGAAGAGGAGGGAGAAGGCCCCCAGUGUCUCUGAGCUGGUGAGCACAGGGGGUCAACAAGCAAUUGGCCCAGCCUGAGCUGCAAAGUAUAGCUAAGGGCCCUGCAGGCACAGUUCAUCUCCUAAAUCACCGAUUUCCUGAUAAAUCAAUGGCUACACAGACUAGGUUUUAAUGUGUGCAAAGCAGAAGACAGAUACCAAAGCCCUAUUUGCCCUUCCCAUCCAAAUACACCUUGUAUUUCCUGGUUCUGGACCUUGGUCAUGGGAACACAUCUGGUCUCACUAGGGAAAAAAAUAGAAGGAAACAUUAUUUUGAGGUCUCUAGGUUCUUUCCGUGAUGAAAGGGGUGCCUCCACAGCUGGUUCAGACAAGCUACAGCAGGUGAGGAGCAUCCUGGCUAACGCCCAGAGAUCUGUCACAUUCACUGCACCGUCCCAGGACUGCAGCUGCAGCAUGGCUUUGCCUUCACUUUUUUCUACCACUGAUGCAGAAGAGGCACGAGGCAACUGGCUCACAUGAGUCUUGAGGGGAAAACAGUCAUCCUCUCCAGCAUGCCACGGCUCUUGAAGAGACUUUUCAGCUGGAAGCCUCCAGAUGUUGACCAGUGAGACAGGGCAAGAGGCUGGAAGAUGCUGAGGGGGCUUGGCAAUAGCUCUGUGCAGCCCCAGCCUGCGAGCACUAAGCGCUGCGAGAGGCCGUGCUAUGCAUCCAGGAUUAUUGAUUACCCUCUCCUAAUCCCAUGAUUGAAUGCCCUGGGCAAAAAAAAAAAAAAAAAAAAAAAAAAAAAAAAGAUUCCUAUUAUAUAUAGAUAGAUAGCUAUUUAAAAUCAUUAACAGAGAUUUAUAUCUCUGAGCUAGUCUUCCAUUCUCUGGGGAAACCAGACAGCUGCAUAGUAAAAGACUGAAAGCCGCAAUAAAACGAAGAAAUGAGCUUCAAUAAAUCAUUAAGCUAAAGCUCAUAAUGUUUAUCUGUAAUGUCAUGUCCCCACAAUCUACAAAAGCAGAUGUGUAACUUUUUGUUUUUCUUUUAUCAACUAUUAAACUGUCAUGUAGCUAUUACAGAAGAUUAAAACUUCUUUUUAAAAGCCCUGAGCAUCAGGGGUCGCAGUUUCUUUUAAAGAAAGGGGUGCUUGCACGACCGUCCGUAUCAUCCAAGAGGAACUGGAGCUGGACCAGAGGUGAUGGUCCAGCAGAGGUCAGGCCGAAAGUUUUUUUCAGCAGAUUACUCAGGAGGCUGGGGCAGGAGGCUUUUGCUCACAGGUGAUGGAGCAAGGAGGAGCUGCAGCUGGAGAAGACGCUUCCCAGACACCUCCUCAGGUGGCUCCAUGAAGACCGCUGACAUUUUCCAGCCUUGCACUGUGAUGCUUGAUGGACACGGCCCCUCCACCUCUUCCUUCAGAGCCCCAGAGGGCUGGAGAUAUCAGACAAACCCUAAGGGUGUUUCAGGGAUCCACGGAUUUAUUUUUUUUGAGCCUUGUUUCCUUUUUUAGAAGAAGAACAGAGCAGGAAAUCUCCCUGCUCCCUCAGGCUUGACAUCCAAAAAUUAGCAUUUGUUUGUUUUACAGAACAGGACUGGCUCUAUUCAAUUUAGACCCAAUCUGUUAAUCUACAAAGGAAAGUAAAUAAAUACUGAAAUUAUGACUAAGGGGGAUUUCACGAGGCGUACACCUCGCUGUGGUUUGGGUUUUUUAGGUACUACUAAUGGAGCCCUGCAUUAUUCUGCUGUAUUUCCUGCUGGCACAACUGCAAAAUGCAGAGCCGCUGUGCUUCUUUUGUCUGCAGCUGAUGCUGUAAAGUGUAACUACAUGUUCGAUUCAGCCUGGGAGGGCUGCUCUUUGUAAGCUAAUUUGGAGCAUGAUUUCCAAAGCCCUGACCAUAUGAAUCUGCUAGCAAAUCUCCCUGCUGUUCCUGCAAGCCCUCGAUUUGCUGCCAUGUUCAAGUUCUCCAAGCGCACCAAAUUAACCAACUCCAGCCCGCACGACUCAGGUUCACAGAGGUUCAACCCCAGCUGAUUUAAGAGACAGAAUUGGUGCGUUUGCCUUUAAAAAAAAAAAAAAAAGAUAAAUAAUAGGGUCAGCAAACAUGCUGCACAAUAUUUAACGAGAAAAAGAUGGGAGCAUAACAGGCUUUGCAACCUAAAACUGCUGCUGAAGGCAACAAACAUGACAUGAUCAUUCU